Molecule: ribosomal RNA, 253 nt
Filed under: uncultured bacterium
Lineage: Bacteria
Description: partial 16S ribosomal RNA
Rfam family: Bacterial small subunit ribosomal RNA
Source: RNAcentral
UACGUAGGGGGCAAGCGUUGUCCGGAUUUACUGGGCGUAAAGCGCGUGUAGGCGGCCCUGCAAGUCGGAUGUGAAAUCCCACGGCUCAACCGUGGAAGUGCAUUCGAAACUGCAGGGCUAGAGUCCUGGAGAGGAAGGUGGAAUGCUUGGUGUAGAGGUGAAAUUCGUAGAUAUCAAGCGGAACACCGGUGGCGAAGGCGGCCUUCUGGACAGUGACUGACGCUGAGACGCGAAAGCGUGGGGAGCAAACAGG